AUGGAUCGCUCGGACACGCCGUCUCCCUUGCGCCGUCCACACUCGCCUGGCAGCUGCUCGCUACGGUGUAUUCGCC
This 76-nucleotide small RNA is filed under the name Xanthomonas sp. NCPPB 1560. RNAcentral's name for it is "sX9 sRNA". It matches the Rfam family "Xanthomonas sRNA sX9". RNAcentral also lists the same sequence under 5 other names. The record is from RNAcentral. Lineage: Bacteria; Pseudomonadati; Pseudomonadota; Gammaproteobacteria; Lysobacterales; Lysobacteraceae.